Long non-coding RNA from Columba livia (rock pigeon), 11093 nucleotides. RefSeq lists it as uncharacterized. The transcript is spliced from 5 exons. The record is from RefSeq and is a predicted model, not a curated record. NCBI's taxonomy places the organism in Eukaryota, Metazoa, Chordata, Aves, Columbiformes, Columbidae.
UAGUGGGAUGGGGAGGGUCCUCCAACAUGUCUACUGAUGUCUUUGAAUGAGAUUUGAUAGUGGAUGGCAGGAUGCCUGUGUUUGUGAAUCACAGGGAGGGGACUGGGGAUGGUGACUCAAGAGAUGCCCUGAGAACGUGCCCCCUAGAGCUAUACCAGCUAUUUAUAUUUUUCCAGAACCUGCAAUAGAUGUGCACUGGCUUCUCUGGAGCCAGUUAGAGGAUGUCUAACGCAGCGCUGGCAUGGCCUGAGACAAGAUCCACCCUGGUCAGAGACAGUUCCUUUGGCACCUUGGGCACAAGGACGAUGGAAUUUGGGUCUGGCUCUUGCGCACAGAAGGAGCGAAGACGACCUAAGUGAGAUGAUAAUGGUGAAAUGCAAGUGCACUUUAGUGAGGUCCCAAAAUCCUCCAGGUCUUGGCCUGUGUGGCCUCUUUGUAGAGUGUGCUGACAUUUUUUUUGUAUUUUUGGUAACUUCUUAGUAAGGAGCCUUAUUGUUAUAUUGUUCAGGUUUUCGUUGGGAAAAACAAAACAAAACUAAAAACAAAAAGAACAGCCACAGACAGAAUAUUUUUGAAUGGUAAAACUUGCAAAAUGAGUUUUUGUACAAGAAGUCUUUUCAAUAAGCAAUGUCUUUUCAUUGAGAAAAAUAACCAUAAAACAGCUUUCAUAUUAACUGUCUUCAAUGAACGACUUUCAUUUCAACUUUGCUUGAUCUUUAAUUAAAAAUAAAAGCAGAAACGUCUCUGCUGAGCGGUUGAUUCAUGUUGAAUCUUCAUCUGGUUGCCCUAGGCAGCUUUUGCUGUAAUUACAAUUAUUUUUUAAAAAGAAUCUUUUAACAGUAGAUUAAUUAGAGACCAACUGACUCCUUUAUUCACCCUGAACUCUCCCAGUACAGAGAGCAAACGAGGACGGUACCAGCCAUGCCACCUGGGCCCAGAUUUUGGGUUUGGAGGCAGGAUGCUGCCCUGCCAGGCACAACGGAGACGUUGCAGAGAGUAUUCAAAGCAUGAACUUGUCAUGCAGCCUUGGGUGAGCGGCUCAUCUAGCCCAUCUGCAAGGGGCUGGGUCGGUGCAGGAUGGUCGGGCGGUACGUGACCCGCCGGGCAGAGUCCAGGUACCAAUGCAGGAAAAGGUAUGCUGCAUUUUCAGCCAAAGGACAAAGCAAUGAGUUUCAAAGUAUGUUCUUGGCAGCACCAAAUGCCCCCUUUCUCCCAUGGCUUGCCUUUCCCCAAAGACGCUUUCAUGGUAGGUUUUUAAAAGCUUGUUACCCAAGAGCAUGGGUUCCAUCUUCCUGCUUCUUACCCAAUUCUGCACCUAUCCCUGUUGCUGUUUAUAUAGGGUGAUCGAGCCUCUAUUGCGCUUAAUCUCAGAAGAUCCAAGCUCCAACACCUCCCAGACUUGCAGGACUAUUUUUUUCAUUUGUGUCAGUGGGAUAAUUUUAAUUGUGCUAUAAUGUUCUCCUCAAAAUGAACAAAAAAAAAUCCCUUCUUCAAAUACGACACUCGUGAUGGCAAAAGUAGUGUCAUUCGGAAUAGGGUAUAUAAUAAACACGUCCCUAACAGGGCUUGGUUCCUGCCUGGACUGGGAGGUCACCUUUUAAUUGAUGCUGCAAAAGGCGGUAGCUGAUGGACAGACAGACAGACUACAAGCAGGUGGUUUGGUCUGGUGAUUUUAGACCCUAAGCCAGAGCUAAGAAGAAGUAAAAGAGCUGUUGGACAAACUCCUGAGACGUAUUUUACAAGAAAAAUGGAGUUUUCUUGAAAAUGAAAUGUUACAGGGAACGUUUCAGGUGAAAUGGGAUUUUCACAGAUAGGUGAUGAAAUUUCAGUCUUGACUCUCCAAUUUCGUGUCCACAUCUGUCAUGAGGUAGAUAUAUGUUGUGUCUCAUACAUUUAAUUAUGACAUUGGCACUUUUAGACCAAAUCGGUUUUGAAUGUACAUUCUGGGGAUAGUUUUGAAAUGCUGUUUUUUCUGAUUCAGCAUUCAGCAAAUUGUGAAAUUCUGGGGUGUCCCAGAGGAAUGACGUUUUAUUUUCAAGUGAGGUCUCUGCGUGCUACUUGUCACCAGCCACAGAGCAGGAGGUGUGGGUGCAUUUAUCAUAUGCUGAUUUAGUUGAUAGGUCUCAAGUGAAAGAUAGUAUAGUGAAAAACAGGCUGAGCAUCACCCUCCCUGAGGGAUGCCAAGUCCUGGGUCUGUCUGGUGGUCCAGCAUGUCUGAACUCCCUAAUGAACCACACUGGUUUCACCAGACUGCUCAUGCCCUCAGAAUUAUCCACAUUCCUGGAUGGAAUGUGUCUGGACAAGUGCCCAAGGCUCUGGUACCCCAAACCAUGUGAACUGAAUAUGAGUUUGAGAUUGGCUCCAUUUGCACACAGUUUGCAUUUUAGCUCUUUAUCUCUGGCUUCGCAGUUGUUGCUGGGAUUGGAUGUAUGUGAAUAAUCAUUUUUCCUGUGUGUAAUGUAUCUCCACUCCUUCCUCUGGAGUUUUCCAUAGCUAAUAGGGAUUUCUGUUCUUCAUAGCAUGCUACAAAUUCCCCUUGCUUCUGACAUUAUUAAUAAGUGAGGUCAAAUAGGAAAAUCCCUCCCAUUCAGUGUUAAGCAGCUGUUUAUUCUUUUCACGGACAUGAAAAAUGCCCAGAGCAGAUGGAGGCUGAGAGGAAUCUGUUCAGGUCAGCUGUGCUGUUGUGUUAAUCCAGACUUUUACCCUCUUUGAAGACAUCUCUUGCAGGGAUGUCACAUCCCUGCCUGCGGGGAGCAAUCGAUUCACCUCAGCUAAAUCGCAAAGGCGACUGAGCAGCAGCUCCUUUAGGCUGUUCACCCCCCAGACACACCUGCCUCUCUGCAGCCAUCCCUCUGUCUGUACCCUGGAGCAAUGUGGCUGUAUGUCAUGUGAGGAACAGAUGCUCAGGUCCUCUGCACUGCCUCUUGUCAACCUGGCGAUGCUCGGAGCUGGGUCAAAGGUACACUUGCAACAACACACUGGGACAGAAUGUCCUUUUGCUUUCAGUUUUAUUGCUUUGCUUACACAGACGGAGGCAGUCUAACACAGAGUAAGAGGGAAGGUCUCUAGUCAUGCAGAGCUUAAUAAAAACCAGGGGUGAAGCCCAGGGUUAAUAAGGAAUGGGAUAAGACAUGACUAAUAGAAAUGCAAAAAAACAGAGUGGGACAGGACAAAAUAUACCUUUUCUCAGGGGACAACAGCUACACUUAGACGGGGGCUUGUAUCAGCCUUUACUGCUGUGUUGGCCAUUGAUACAGUGACUUCAGGAGCUGUUGCUCCAUAGCUGGUUGUCUUUGGCCAUGAGCACCUUGUUGCUGUUGUGCUGGACAACUCGGAGCCUCCACCUUGCUGUGCUCCUGCUCCAGCACCUUGCAUACAGCGAGCUGAUGGAAAGCCAGGUCAUGAUGCGUUCCCUGGGGUUUGGGAUCCCGACAGGGGCUUGCACCCUGCUGUGGGUGCCACAGCUUCUCAGUCUUGCCAGGGUUGGGGUCCUGCCAAGGGGCCUCACAUACCUGAAUGUUAUUGUUUGGGUGUCUCUCUUGUGUCUCAGAGGGACAAUUCUGGUUCUGCUCUGCUGACUCUGUCUCUGGGUUCUGAUCACAGUUAGAACCCUGUCCUGGUAUCUCAUUUUCUUGGGCCUGGUGGGUUUUUGGGUCCUGUUUUCGUGUCUCGGUCUCUUCAGCCUUAUGGGUAUUUCUGACGUGGUCUUGUUCCUUGGUGUCCAGGAUCUCACCCCUCUUUGCAUCCCCUUCUGGUGCUUCAGUCCUGUCAUCCUGAUGCAUGUCCCAGUCCUGCUCCUGUGUCUCACCCUUCUUGGUUUGAGGGGUGUCUGGGUCCUGCUCCUGUGUCUCACCCUCCUGGGUUUGAGGGGUGUCCGGGUCCUGCUCCUGUGUCUCACCCUCCUGGGUUUGAGGGGUGUCUGGGUCCUGCUCCUGUGUCUCACUCUCCUGGGGCUGACAGGUGUCCUGGUCCUGCUCCUGUGUGUCACCCUCCUGGGUUUGACGGUCUUCUGGAUCUUGUGUCUCGGUGUCCUGGACCUGAUUGUUCACAUCCUGCUCAGGGACCUGCUGGUCAAGGGAGACCCUUCCGGCUGCAUGUGGCCCCGGGAGCUGCUCCCCACCUGCCUUUCCUUGCACUGUUGGCUCUUGAUCAUCUUCUGGUGCCUGGUGUUGCUGGGGUGGCUUGCAACAAGCCUUGGCCACACGGAAGACCAGGCUGAGCAAUUCAUUGAAGUCAACCCUGCAGUUGCUGUCAUUGUCCAGAAAGCACAGCACCUUCUUGAUGGUUUGGGGGUCCUGGGGGUCCUGUAAAGAGACAAAUGGUGUCUGCAAAGCCAGUGAGCCAUUUGCAUAAUCUCUCUAGGAGCACCUGGGUGGUCUCAGAGCAGAAAUCCAGCUCCACGCUUCCCCCACUCCCUGUGGCUUGUGUUUAUCCCUGCACCGAGCUCUGCGAGCUGCUGGCACUGGGAGAAUGAACAGCCUCUACUUUUCCCUGCAGAUCCUGGGCUUUUGGAGUCAUCUGUACCUUUCCCAGGGAGCCAGGUGUCCUGCAUACCCGCAUGGGACUGCAUGGCUUUACCCACGGUGCUGCACGCUGGGUCCCAGCCCUGCAGCCAGAAGGAGAGCUCAGCAGUGUCACCUUCAGGGACAUCCUCGUGACCAGAAGCUCCUGCUCUCCUGUUGGUAGCAAAGUCAUCAUGAGAAGUCUCUCCAGCCUUACCUGGGCGAGCAGCAGGAGCACUGAGCUUUGGGAGCGCGGUCUGGAGCAAAUCAGCUCUCGGCGGUCUUAUAUACAGUUCAGGGUCACAACCUGCAUUUUCCAGGGUGACCUGAAACAUCUCUCACCUAAUUGCAUUGUCAUGACCCUGUCUUCUUUUGUCUCUUUCUCAUUAACUUCUGCUCUUAUGCUUUUCUUUAGAGUUAAUACGUGAUCCUUCCCAAGCUUGCCCCACCUGCAGACACAUUUCAGAGGAAUUUAACAGAAAAGGCUAUUUUUACCACUGGAGGAUUUAAUGUAAGAUGAUGCCCGAGCAACACCCAAGACUCUUGUGUUCGGCAAACGUGUUUUGUGAGAUGGAGAUCCCCAGUGACUGACACGCAGGGAGGAGGCCACCCGGGAGUGCUUUCAUGGUGAAUAAGGAGAAAACAAAGGAAGAAAAAUGAGGAUAUUGUGAUGCCGAGGUUGAUGUGAUUCCUUCCAGAAACCCCCUCUUCUGCAUCCCCGCAGGGAGGUCGGCAUCGAGCGAAGGAAUCUUUUCGAACAGUGCCACCAGGUGGCACUGGGAGCAGGACAGAGGGCGGCACGGCGGGUCCCAGGGCCAGCGGGCACCGUGCGCGCGGUGGGCUGCGACCACCCGUUUACCAGGAGGGGAAACCGAAGCAUAUGGCAAGGAAAGGACUUAAACUUCUUGUGCCAGGUCUGGCACAAAUCCCUGCUGUGACCCAGUGUCUUGUUAAUGAGGCCACCAUACCGGGGCCCAGUGGGUUGGCUGAAGCCCCACAGACCUAGGUGCAGUUAUUGCUGCUUGCUCAGGAAAUUUGUUUGGUUUUUUAAUUUCCCUGUAUUGUCUUAUUACUCCUCAGCAGCUCCAAAUGCGGUGUGAUAUGAAAGUCAUUUCCAAGGUACUUUGAGCAAGACUUUAAGCUGUCCUCACCUUAGCUAUUUUGUAAAGUCUUUUUUCUUGGUGAACAUAUGGUUAAUAAGAAAGAUGGGGGGAAAAAUGAUGUCACAAUUCCAUAUAGCUUUUAAUGGUACAGAACAUUAAACAUGGCCAUCUUUUUUACUAGAAAAAACACUCUGAAGAAAAUGCCUGGCUUGCUCCAGAGGAGAAGGGCUGCGAAGGGAUAAAUACGGGAGGCUGGAGGGCCAGGACGGUUUGCAGGCCGUCGAGUGCUUUGGAUGUGUGCUGAGUCCUCCUGCACUCAGGGCUCCUUUUUCUCUGGCAGGUUCUGUCUGAGCUCAUGCCCUUUCUUUAAGCUGAAAGGUUUCUGAUCUAUCACGGCUCUAAUCCCAGGUACCAUCAAGCAGCUCUUCUGUCAGGCUGAGCAAGCAGUGCCCAGGGAGCAGCGGUGACCUCCUGGCAGUGCCCUUCUAUUUUUAUCUAGAAAUCUAUCAACCUUUCUUUCACAUCUGCAUGGAAACACACCACAUUCCUCUAACCUGAGGUGUGUUUGCUAUGAACCUUCUCACUAAGCUGCAGUGAGGCAGCGGGGGCAAUUACUGGGGGCUGAAGUAUUUUAGGGUGUUGGUGCUGAAGAUAUUUCUAGCAAAACCGUGCAGACCCUGAGCAAGGCAGUUUCUCCUCUUGUAGGCAAUAACAGGUUUAUGUUGUACAGGAUUUCACACAUGCUUUAUGAAGCGCAAAAGGUUAGAGGGUCAAAUGAUAUGUAAAGAAUUUAAAACUGCUGCAUGGCAAAAAAGACAAACCCACCCCUUUUAAAAGAGCUUGCAAUAAAUUAUGUUGAAUCCAGGGAGGGGAGGGCAGGUGCUUCAGAGACUUGUGCUAAUGAAAUCACAUGAAACUUCAGGGUUACUGCAUUGAGAACUGUGAAAUAGGAGGGGAGGCUUUGCACAAGCUCACACUUGGUUUGCAAUGAUGCUGGGGGGUUUUGAACAGGAUUGAGGCGGGGCUGGGGAGAGUUGCUCUCUGAAAAGUUCUAGAAAGAAAACCUACAGUUUAGAUCACACUUAAAUUUCUCCUGCUGUGUUUUCAUGUGUAGAAGUUAAACUUAGCUAAACCAACCUCACCCAAAAUUCUGUUAUUUGAAAAUAGAACUAGAAAACUGAUGCGUCAUCAGGCAUCCCAGGAUUAUUUCCCUCUUUUUCUGCCUGAAGACCUUAUGGAUCUGUGAAAUUACUCAAUGCCUUGGUUAGCGGGGAAGAAGGGAGGAAGCAGACGAAGGGGGCACAGAGAGAGCAUUGCCAGCAGUCGGGGCUGUGUGGUGAGCAUGUGUCAGGCGGCAAUGGCAGGGAGUGGUGUCGAGCUGGUGUUGGGGGUUCGGGAUGAGGGUGUUUGGGGUCUGGGGCCCAAGAGGGUAGGAGUUCGGUCAGAGUGGUCAGAUUUCUCAACAAAAAUAAAGCAGGAAAUUACUGUUUAUUCCUGCAUGACUGUGAUUGUUCUUGCUUAGCAGGGAAGAGCAGAAGUGUGGGUUAGCACUAAAGAAGGAAGGAAAGUUCUACACUGAAGGUUUAAUGUGAGAAGCUAUUUAAACAUGGGGUUUGGAGAGCUGGAAGGCUUUGGUGCUGGGAUGGUGGGGGCUUGCUCUUGGAGGUUAAAAGAAAAAGAAGAUAUCUGGUUAGUGCCUGUGCUAUGGGACUCGGGUUCUGUCUGUGGUUAUUGCCUUCCUAACAUGCAUCCUUCGCCUUUUCUGGCUGUUGUCUCCUUUCUCUUGCCUGCUAAGGGCAGUGUAGGGUUGCCUCCCUUUUCUCACCUUGUUCCACACAUGAAGCACAAUUCUGAAACUUUCCUAGGUCUGGCACUCAUCAUACGGAGAGCUUUAUCUUUACAUCUAUGUUGUUAUCAGGAAUUAAACUAAUUGGCAUAAAAUGCUUUGCUUUCCUACACUGCCUGGGCAUUUCAGCAAGUUAUUUCUGUUGCAACCUUCUUUAUUGCUAAUUCACUGUGACAUUAAGAAGUGUAAUACGUCGGCUUUUCUCUAAGACGUUUCCACUUUUUUACAUGUUAAUGACCGUAUUUAACAUAUUUCUUCAGAGAUAAUUGGAUUCUAAGGCUCCCUGUGGUAAUGCAAUGAAAGCCAGCUAGCAAUGCCUUUAAUAUCUAAAAGACUCUUUCUGCAUUUGAAUAAUCCCACAAUUAAAAUUAAGAAUUAAUCUCUUGUCUGAAACAAGACUUUUGAGGAUACCUUUCUUGUUUUGAGACAGUUUCAAUACAUACGUUAACUUUACUUACAGAGAAGUUAAUUAAAUCCUUCCUUGGCAUUUGUAUCCUAGAACUUGCAAAGGGGCACGGGUAUCUCAGAUUACCUUGUUUCUCUCACCCGUUGAUCCUCUGUGUGAAGGCAGAAUUUUUCUGUGCUUCAUAGCUUGUCCAGCUGGCUGUUUUAAUUCAAACCAUAGAAGCUAUCAUUGAGUAAAUUAUUUUUCUGAAGGUGCAAAGGAACACACAAGUUUACUUAAAUGGCUCUAGGUCUGGAAAAGGAGAGGAAAUUAUAAUGCGUAGUUAGCCAGUGCAUAGAGAGCACCUAUGAAAUUCUGUAUCUCUUCUUAAGCGAAUCUUUAGCAAUUAAAAACUAAGAAUAAACCUGAGGGGGAAGUAGAACAGGGAGGAAGGUGAGAUGAGAUUAUCCCACGUUUGUUGCUAUGAAGAAUUAUUUCACCUCCUUCCAGUGGCACCUGCUUUGCUCUGUGAGGAUCCCUGGUGAGGCAGCACGCUGUAUGGCAGCCAUUCAGCCAAGAUGUUUGGGAAUGCUGGUAACUGACAGCUGGCCAAGACAAAAUUAACGAUGCACCUACUACUGGUUAUGUCCAGCUCAGAAGACUCCAAGUCCUGCUUUUCACCUGUCGUCAGAAAAUGAGCUUUGACACUGUCUGUAUGUUCCUUGCCUUUCAGCUUCUCCAAGCUCCUGUAGGCUGGCGCUCCUGUGCUGUGCACCACCAGAGGACGCUGCGUGGGUGCAGGCACGGUCAUGUGUGUGCAUGCUUGGUGUGGGUGCCCAAGCCAAUUGUGUGCACGCACAGACACACCUGUACGUGCUUGGUGUGGGCAGCUGGGAUCCCAUCCCUCCCGUCAGGUCUGCUGCCUGCUCCCAGACGUCUUUCAGACGGGCUCCCUGAGCCAGCCACAGGGUUUAGCUUUGGAAAAUCGGCUUCUGGGCAGAGCUCUGACCGUGAAACAGCUUUCCUGUGGCAGCACUCGCAGGCUGGGCAGGUGUAGCAGCCCAGCUGUGAGAGCUCCUCCUUACUUUUUUAUCCCCCUCCUGUAUCAUGCUGAACUCAGAGCCUUCGUUCCUGCUGUGUGGGGGGAGCCGGUGACACGCGGGCAACAGCAGUUCAUUCCCACCACCCACGUGCCCAGGGACCUCACUGCCUUCUCCCAGGGCCAUUGGCAGAGGAGAUGGGCUGGUAGCAUACACGGCAGUCAGCUCAGCUGUGGUCUCUGCUGGAUUGCCCCACUGAAAGACUGAGGGUUUGGUGGAGACCUGAAUCACCUCUUGUGGCUCUGGUGGAAGUGAGUCAUGGGUUGCACUCAUUUUGGCUGGUCCCCUUGGUGGCGGGGCCAAUUUUGGUGCUUUUGCACGUUUGGUUCCUCACUGCCCAGCACAUCAGCAGGAAAAUUUAAAUUAUUUUUACUAGCUUGUUUUAAGAGAAACCAGCAAUUUUGGUCAAUGGCUUAAAGCCUCAGCCUUAGUACUUUCUCCUGUUGGGGUGUAAAGCUGCUUUCUGCUGUCCUGAAAAGCAACUCUGGCUACUAAGAAAUGACCAAAAGAGCAUUGAUGGUUGUGUGUGUUCUGAAGAGUUAAGCGGGGGAGUGAUGUCUUUUAGUAAAGAGUGGGAGAUGCUCAUUUUAACUGGACUUUUCAGUCUCCUUCCUGUGUCUGGAAGACCCUCUGGAACUGGUGACUCAGGCCAGGAGAACACGGACUCCAGACCAGCAUCGUUCACAAGUGCACACGUGCAGCAGUUGACUUGCUCUGAAGUAUCAGCUUCCUAAAAUGACUCACCUGGCUCCAUGAAAUAAGCAGUACCAGCACUGGGGUACUGCUUAUUGUCCAACUCUGUACCAGCUGAGAUGUCUGUGUGCGAGCUCUCAGCCCUGUUGGCCCUGCCUGAGAAAUGAGGUCCUCAGCUUCAGUUUGCAAAGAAUGUUUGGCCAAACCCAGGUUGGAUGGCAUUUUGUCCUUCCCUUUGUCUCCGUAGGAAAGGGAUAAAUUACUAGCUGAUAUGUCAGGAAUGCCACAAUCACACCUGAUGCCUCUUUUCCAGCUGUACCAAUUACACCCCACCCAAUGAAGGUGAGGUGUCACAAGGCAGGAAUAAUGACAGAGGGAGAGGAGGAGAUCGUGUGGUGAGUAGAAUGUGAGAACUGUCAAAGGAAUGAAGAGCUGGGGGGAAGGCAAUGAACGGGCUGCUCGAGUUUUGAAAUGCAAACACAAUACAUCCCCAGAUAGCAUGGGCCAGUGAAAAGAUAUAGCCGGAUCUGGUCCUCUUCUUGCUUUGCAGUUUAUCACCAGCACUGCAGGUCUGGGACUGUGAUCAGGACAUUGCAGCCCAGCCACAAAGACUAUCUCUGCCCCAGAUCGCUCCAAUGAAGGCACGCUUGAUGAAAUUACAGUUGAUGCACCCAACAAAAAAAGUCUUUCCAGGUUUAGUUUUCAUACAAUUCAUGACAUACUUAUGGCCCUGGGUAGACUGCAGAGUCUUUUAAAGAGCUAAAGAAACCUUCACUUUGGUCUUGAUGAACACCUCCAGCUUAAUGACACCUGAGGAAAGGAAACAAGCAUUGGCUGCUGUGCUGGAGGAAAUGGCUCAGUGUCAGGUUUUGUUUUAUUGUCAUUGGUAAGUGCUCAGAAACACCCAGGAUGAUAUCAACAAACUCUGAGCAUCAGCAAAUGGGUGUUUGAAUGUCAAAUGUGCUGGGAUGGAGCACACUGUGUUGGCAUAGCCAUAAAUGCCAGGGAAGUGCCAGCCAGGGAGAUGCAAGUGUGCGAUGAGAAGUUACCUUUGUAACUGAGAUUAUGCAGGAGAACACAACAAUUUGUAACUGACAGUCUAGUAAUAUGGUGCCAAAGGAGCAUCUUCUAAAAAUGAGCUGAGCUUACCUUACUAUACCAGUGCGUAUUGGGUGCUACAUUAAACUGUAUUCCUCUGCUUAACAACUCUGUUGGUUCAUCUUUAGUUGUCGUUUUUACAUCACUAUAGGCUAUCUUCACUAAUGUUUGAUUUAUAGGUGUUUCUGAAGUCUAAUACCACAGAUCUAAUCUAACUCACGCAAGAGUCACAUUACAACAUAAUGGGUGAUAUAUGUAGUUUCAGGCAUGGUAAUCUGGCGUAGUGUCUUAAGAAUUAUGCCUGUUGAUUUAUUUACUGUAAAGAAAAAAAAAAAAAAAGAAACAGUUCUCACUUUUCAGAUUCCU